RNAcentral lists this ribosomal RNA (492 nucleotides) under uncultured bacterium. Its description in RNAcentral is "partial 16S ribosomal RNA". It matches the Rfam family "Bacterial small subunit ribosomal RNA", at positions 29 to 507 of the family's 1533-position model. The record is from RNAcentral.
AGUGAACGCUGGCGGUAGGCCUAACACAUGCAAGUCGAACGACAGCACAGUAAGAUUUUUCCCUUACCGUUGGCGAGUGACGGACGGGUGACGAGUACAUCGCAUUCUUCUUUUUCUUGGGGAAUAACGUAGGAACACAUACGCUAAUACCUCAUACGACCUACGGGUGAAAGCAGCAGAUCUUCGCACCUUGCGUGACUGAAUGAGCCGAUGUCGGAUUAGCUAGUUGGCGGGGUAAAGGCCCACCAAGGCGACGAUCCGUAGCUGGUCUGAGAGGAUGAUCGGCCACACUGGAACUGAGACACGGUCCAGACUCCUACGGGAGGCAGCAGUGGGGAAUAUUGGACAAUGGGCGCAAGCCUGAUCCAGCAAUACCGCGUGAGUGAAGAAGGCCUUCGGGUCGUAAAGCCCUUUUAUUGGGGAAGAAAAGCUGCAGGUUAAUCCACCGCUGUCCUGACGGUACCCAAAGAAUAAGCACCGGCUAACUUCGUG